Vicia faba (fava bean) is the source of this 306-nucleotide non-coding RNA. The record is from the annotation of a GenBank genome assembly. Lineage: Eukaryota; Viridiplantae; Streptophyta; Magnoliopsida; Fabales; Fabaceae.
AUGAACCCAAUAAGCAUUUUUGCUUAUGAUCUGGAGGUACCCAAAAAAAAUGGUGAUGGGCCUGAGGAUGAGAAAGUUUCCGGUCCAUGGUGCUAUUAUUCAUCAUUAAACAAAAUAAUAAUUAAAAAAAUUGAAAUAAUUAAAGAAGAGAUUAGGGUUACUAAUUCCCUUCGUCCUCUCAAACUCGGCUGCGGCGGCCCAUUUCCUGUAGGAUUCGCCCUCUCUUUUCUUCGAUCCAAGAUUCGUGAUGUUAUUGUCGAGGUUGAGAUGCGAGGUGAUAGAGAUGCUGCAAUGAAUUUUCAAUGA